Molecule: ribosomal RNA, 430 nt
Filed under: Gemmatimonadota bacterium
Lineage: Bacteria; Pseudomonadati; Gemmatimonadota
Description: Gemmatimonadetes bacterium partial 16S ribosomal RNA
Rfam family: Bacterial small subunit ribosomal RNA
Source: RNAcentral
UAGGGAAUCUUCGGCAAUGGACGAAAGUCUGACCGAGCAACGCCGCGUGAGUGAAGAAGGUUUUCGGAUCGUAAAACUCUGUUGUUAGAGAAGAACAAGGACGUUAGUAACUGAACGUCCCCUGACGGUAUCUAACCAGAAAGCCACGGCUAACUACGUGCCAGCAGCCGCGGUAAUACGUAGGUGGCAAGCGUUGUCCGGAUUUUAUUGGGCGUAAAGCGAGCGCAGGCGGUUUCUUAAGUCUGAUGUGAAAGCCCCCGGCUCAACCGGGGAGGGUCAUUGGAAACUGGGAGACUUGAGUGCAGAAGAGGAGAGUGGAAUUCCAUGUGUAGCGGUGAAAUGCGUAGAUAUAUGGAGGAACACCAGUGGCGAAGGCGGCUCUCUGGUCUGUAACUGACGCUGAGGCUCGAAAGCGUGGGGAGCAAACAGG